Molecule: ribosomal RNA, 133 nt
Filed under: Oleiphilus sp. HI0065
Lineage: Bacteria; Pseudomonadati; Pseudomonadota; Gammaproteobacteria; Oceanospirillales; Oleiphilaceae
Description: partial 16S ribosomal RNA
Rfam family: Bacterial small subunit ribosomal RNA
Source: RNAcentral
AGAUUAAACUGAAGAGUUUGAUCAUGGCUCAGAUUGAACGCUGGCGGCAGGCUUAACACAUGCAAGUCGAGCGGUAACAGAUCUAGCUUGCUAGAUGCUGACGAGCGGCGGACGGGUGAGUAACGCGUAGGAA